GUUUCAAUUCCUCAUAGGCAGGCUAUCGGCUGCGAAGGCCAAAGAACCUUCUGUUGUGUUUUGAUGG
RNAcentral lists this small RNA (67 nucleotides) under Acididesulfobacillus acetoxydans. Its description in RNAcentral is "Peptococcaceae bacterium INE non-coding RNA". Lineage: Bacteria; Bacillati; Bacillota; Clostridia; Eubacteriales; Peptococcaceae. The record is from RNAcentral.